CACAGGAGAGGAAGAACGCCGGCAGGGUCCGACGCCCAAGGUCACAGCACCCAGGUCAGAGAGGGCACUGAAGGCCAAGACCCACAGGGUGUUGGACAGGUCGCGGCUGGUCAGCUCUGACUUGAAAGUGGCACUAACUCUGCUUUCCCAAGAAAACCAAAAUAAAUGAGCCUGUUGGAGAAGAGCCCUCACCUCUAGUUAUGGACUUUAGGAAUGAAUGAGUCAAUUAAGAGCUACGCCUUACUUCUGAUAUAGUAAACUUAGAGAUGUACUAGAACAUGGUAGGUCCUUGUUCCUUAUCCCAAGGGUGAAUGACCUUGUUGGUCUCAGAUCAGAUGUUAUCCCAGGUAUGUGUAAAAGCCAGUCCCUCAGGAUGGUCCCUGGUGUUCCCUGCCUCUGAUAACUGCAGCCCCAGCCAAAAUCUGAUGGCAUUCUCAUGAAAGACCACAAACAAGAACAUUCAGGUCAAGCCCUUUCCAAAUGCCUGACCCAUAGAAACCAUGAGAGAGAAUGUGUGACUAUUGUUGUCUUAAGCCAUUACGUUUAGGAUAAUUUAUUACUGGUACAGCAUGUACUGAGGUGAUGUUAAGUCAAUGAAGGGGAUUCAGCAGAGAACUAAAUCGCAAGACUUGUAUCUUCGAAAUAAUUCUGCCUGUGGUGUGGAAGUUGGAUACCAAGGGAAGAAGCUGGGAAACUAAAGGCAGGACAUUAGUUAGGAAGCGAUAGCACCACCCAGGCCUGAUGUCGUGGGAGCAAAACUCUUUAAAGGUCCCCUGAGGACGAUCAGGAAGGGCUACUGGCCAGCAGCAAGAGGAGAUGCAGAGAAAAAGAAUAGAAAAUACAAAUUUCAAUGACGCACAUUUUUCACUCUUUGGCAUUUUCUUUCCCUUAUGG
Molecule: non-coding RNA, 894 nt
Organism: Manis javanica (Malayan pangolin)
Lineage: Eukaryota; Metazoa; Chordata; Mammalia; Pholidota; Manidae
Source: RefSeq, a predicted model, not a curated record